UUAAAUGAAUUGACGGGGAGCACCACAACGGGUGGAGCCUGCGGUUUAAUUGGAUUCAACGCCGGACAACUCACCGGAUACGACAGCGGAAUGAUAGUCGGGCUGAAGACUCUACUUGACUAGCUGAGAGGAGGUGCAUGGCCGUCGUCAGUUCGUACUGUGAAGCAUCCUGUUAAGUCAGGCAACGAGCGAGACCCACGCCCACAGUUGCCAGCGUACUCUCCGGAGUGACGGGUACACUGUGGGGACCGCCGCUGCUAAAGCGGAGGAAGGAAUGGGCAACGGUAGGUCAGUAUGCCCCGAAUAUCCCGGGCUACACGCGAGCUACAAUGGUUGGUACAAUGGGUAUCUACCCCGAAAGGGGACGGGAAUCUCCUAAAACCAAUCUUAGUUCGGAUUGAGGGCUGCAACUCGCCCUCAUGAAGCUGGAAUCCGUAGUAAUCGCGUUUCAACAGAACGCGGUGAAUACGUCCCUGCUCCUU
RNAcentral lists this ribosomal RNA (482 nucleotides) under uncultured Methanolinea sp. Its description in RNAcentral is "bacterial SSU rRNA". It matches the Rfam family "Archaeal small subunit ribosomal RNA", at positions 856 to 1338 of the family's 1478-position model. Lineage: Archaea; Methanobacteriati; Methanobacteriota; Methanomicrobia; Methanomicrobiales; Methanoregulaceae. The record is from RNAcentral.